AAGAAACAACAUGCCCAUGAAGAAAUAUGGAAGUACUGUGGUGGGCUGCCUUUGGCCAUAGUGACCAUGGCUGGUCUUGCCGCCUGCAACCCAGCCAAAAAGAAUGACCAUGGCCAUUGGAGGAAAGUUUGCAAGUCAUUGUUUCAAGAGAAGGUGGCUCCACUUACCCUGGAUGGAGUCACAAGGAUACUCGAUUACUGCUACAAUGAUUUGCCUCCAGAUCUCAAGACCUGCUCAUUGUACUUGAGCAUAUUUCUAAUGGGUUUGAAGAUUUGUACGAAGCGCCUGACCAGGAGAUGGAUAUCUGAAUGCUUUGUCACUGAGAAGCAAGGUCUGACAGCAGAGGAGGUCCCAGAAACAUACUUCAAUCAACUCAUAAGUAGGAAGAUAAUACGCUCUGUUGAUCACAACCGCAACGGCAAGGUAAAAUCCUUUAAAGUUCACGAUAUGAUUCUUGAAUAUAUCGUGUCCAAAGCAAGCCAGGAAAAUUUUAUCACUGUCGUCGGCGGGCACUGGUUGAUGCCAACUCCUAGCAACAAAGUCCGUCGACUCUCCAUGCAGAGUAGUGGUUCUUAACAAGGGAAUCCAACAGAAGGCAUGGAUUUGUCUCAAGUACGGUCACUAACCGUAUUUGGAAGCCAAGACCGACCACUGCCUUUUCACUCAUUCAAUAAUGGAAUAAUUCAAGUGUUUGAUCUGGAGGGUUGGAAGGGAUUGACAAAUAAACAUAUGGAGGACAUAUGUAAAAUGCUUGUACUGAAGUAUUUGAGCCUCCGUCGAACAGAGAUUUCCACGAUUCCAUCAGAGAUAGAGAAGAUCCAGGAUCUGGAAACUUUUGAUGCAAGGGAGACAAAUGUCGGAGAUCUACCCAAAACUUUUGGCAAUCUCAAACGGCUCCGCAGUUUGCUUGGGGGAAGUAAAAAAUCACGGAAGGCUUUGAAGAUGCCUCAAUAGAAAAAUAAGGUGACAAGGAAAGCACUUCGUGUACUGUCAGGGAUCGAGAUCAGUGAAGGCUCGACCACUGCUGCAAGUCUUGAUCAGCUAACUGGGCUAAGGAAACUUGCCAUUUACAAGCUCAAUAUUAUUGAGGGUCAAAAAACCUUCAUAGAUUUAUGCUCCUCCAUUCAGUACCUCUGCAGCUGCGGUCUACAGACACUUGCAAUCAAUGAUGAGAGCUCUAAUUUUAUCAACUCACUAGACUCCAUGUCCGCUCCUCCAAGAUACCUCACUGGUCUGGAGCUGUCUGGCAUGUUGGAAAAGCCUCCAAAGUGGAUCGUGGAGCUCAAGAACCUCUACAAGCUGACCCUUUCUGUGACAGUUCUUAAGACUGAUACUUUCAAGCUCAUCCAGGACCUGCCCGAAUUGUUUUCUCUCACCUUUACACUCAAU
This 1389-nucleotide ribosomal RNA is filed under the name Triticum aestivum (bread wheat). RNAcentral's name for it is "partial small subunit ribosomal RNA". Lineage: Eukaryota; Viridiplantae; Streptophyta; Magnoliopsida; Poales; Poaceae. The record is from RNAcentral.